Molecule: long non-coding RNA, 1067 nt
Filed under: Numida meleagris (helmeted guineafowl)
Lineage: Eukaryota; Metazoa; Chordata; Aves; Galliformes; Numididae
Description: lncRNA (ENSNMEG00000014856.1)
Source: RNAcentral
CAGGAAACUUCCUGAAUAGAAUUUUAUGUUAGAAUAACUGCUAUGAAUACAGGAAUGAAGGGAGUCCAAACGCCAACAUUUAUCCUCUUUUCUGAUCAGAGGCAUGGGACUUCUGAUCUGACACACCUGUUUCUGUAUCCCAGUAAGAGUCCCAGACGCAGAUUCAACAUCAGAGUCUAACUUCUGAGAAAUCCACACUGGAAAGCACAUGAAUACGGAUGCAACACAUGAAUGUCGGUGCAUUUGCUUCAGAAGAGACCUCAGCUAAGUUCCUAAGUGUUGUAAUUAGAUAUCUACAUUAAAGUAGGAUUAAAACAGGUCUACUAAAGAAAUGAAGUUGUUUUUUUAUCCACUAACAGACAACAGAGGAAAAAUAAGAUUAAAUAAGUGCAGUGUUGUCCCUUUCCCAACCCCCCUUCCCCUCCCCCAUUUUUUUUAACUAUAUGCACCAAUGGGAUUGAAAUGUUGCUGAGCUAUUACUGUCAGUUCUCUGUCUUAGAAAAGGCAGGGGAAGAAUUAAAACAGGCUGCAAUCCAGCAGCUAGGCAGGGGUCUGUUACUCUAAGCACAGCUGGAGGGCUGCAGGGAACAGAUGCACAGUGUUACAAGUGCCAGCUCUGAUAGUUACAUGCUGUAGUACAGAAGAGCCCUUAGUCAGGUAAGUGCUUUCACAUGAGUUUUAGUUAUUACUAUUAGUGGAAGGCUGAGUAACAUUAAACCAACAUGAAAACUGACUAAAGGUUACAGAAUUUGUUAUUACAAAUCUUUUGCAGUUAGCUUGGAGUCCUCUUGGGGUGAGGGUGGUAGAGGUAAGAGCAAGUGUUGUAACAUGAGAUCUGACAUCAUCUGAUUUAUUCAUUUGUUUUUAUUGUUACCUACUUAAUUCAUCACUUAAAAAUGAAAUUAUUAUAACUAAAUCUUGGCCAUAGCCACAAAAAGAGUCAUCUUGGAAUGGACUAGAGAAACAGCACGCUCGUAUUUGAGUUUGUAGAAUCAUAGAAUAACAAAAUGGAAUCACAGAAUGGUUUGAGUUGGAAGGGAGCUUAAAGAUCAUCUAGUUCCAACCCU